Molecule: ribosomal RNA, 474 nt
Filed under: uncultured bacterium
Lineage: Bacteria
Description: bacterial SSU rRNA
Rfam family: Bacterial small subunit ribosomal RNA
Source: RNAcentral
GAUGAACGCUGGCGGCGUGCCUAAUACAUACAAGUCGAACGCUUCACUUCGGUGAAGAGUGGCGAACGGGUGAGUAAUACAUAAGUAACCUGGCAUCUACAGGGGGAUAACUGAUGGAAACGUCAGCUAAGACCGCAUAGGUGUAGAGAUCGCAUGAACUCUAUAUGAAAAGUGCUACGGGACUGGUAGAUGAUGGACUUAUGGCGCAUUGGCUGGUUGGUAGGGUAACGGCCUACCAAGGCGACGAUGCGUAGCCGACCUGAGAGGGUGACCGGCCACACUGGGACUGAGACACGGCCCAGACUCCUACGGGAGGCAGCAGUAGGGAAUUUUCGGCAAUGGGGGAAACCCUGACCGAGCAACGCCGCGUGAAGGAAGAAGUAAUUCGUUAUGUAAACUUCUGUCAUAGAGGAAGAACGGUGGAUAUAGGGAAUGAUAUCCAAGUGACGGUACUCUAUAAGAAAGCCACGGCUA